RNAcentral lists this ribosomal RNA (372 nucleotides) under uncultured bacterium. RNAcentral describes it as "bacterial SSU rRNA". It matches the Rfam family "Bacterial small subunit ribosomal RNA", at positions 524 to 898 of the family's 1533-position model. The record is from RNAcentral.
UACGUAGGUGGCAAGCGUUGUCCGGAUUUAUUGGGUUUAAAGGGUGCGUAGGUGGCCCUGUAAGUCAGUGGUGAAAUAUCUCAGCUUAACUGAGAGGGUGCCAUUGAUACUGCAGGGCUUGAGUACAGAUGAGGUAGGCGGAAUUGACGGUGUAGCGGUGAAAUGCAUAGAUAUCGUCAAGAACACCGAUAGCGAAGGCAGCUUACCAAGCUGUAACUGACACUGAGGCACGAAAGUGUGGGGAUCAAACAGGAUUAGAUACCCUGGUAGUCCACACUGUAAACGUUGAUGACUCGAUGUUGGCGAUACACAGCCAGCGUCCAAGAGCAAUCGUUAAGUCAUCCACCUGGGGAGUACGCCGGCAACGGUGAA